AGAUGAUUACAAAGAGCAUGGGAUGGGAGGCAGAGAGCCUCUCAGGCAAGGGGAGAAUGUGCAGAAACAGAAGGAAGGAAAAGCACCUUUGGGGAGUCUCCUGCACAGAGCCCAGGGUGGCUGAUGGAGAAGACUCUCAUCAGGGUCAUCUGCAUGUGGAUGAGGUUCCCAGAGAGGACUGCUGGAGGACAUUGCAUGUUUAUGAAUUUCACAGGUUCUUGUUCUGCGGCCCAGUCUGAAGUGCAGAGGUGCGAUUGUGGCUCCUGCAAUCUCUGCCUCCCAGGCUCAAGCGAUCCUCCCACCUCGGCCUCCCAAGUACCUGGGACUACAGGCAUACGCUGUCACAGCUACUUUUUGUAUUUUUUUGCAGAGACGGGGUUUCGCCAUAUUGCCCAGGCUGGUCUCAAACUCCUAGGCUCAAGCAAUCCUCCCGCCUUGGCCUCCCAAAGUGUUAGGAUUACACGCGUGAGCCACUGUACAGGGCUUUUUUCUUUUUCUUUUUAGAGACAGGGUCUCACUCUGUUACCAGGCUAGAAUGCAUUGGUUUGUUUGUCACUGAUUUGUCACUGAUUUGUUUGUUUCUGAGAUGGAGUCUCACUCUGUCAGCCAGGCUGGAGUGCAGUGGCAUAAUCUCAGCUAACUGCAACCUCUGCCUCCUGGGUUCAAGCGAUUCUCCUGCCUCAGUCUCCCGAAUAGCUGGAUUUACAAGCAUGAGCCACCAUGCCUGGCUAAUUUUUGUAUUUUUAGUAGAGACAGGGGUUUCACCAUGUUGGCCAGGCUGGUCUUGAAUUGCUGAUCUCAAGUGAUCUGCCCACCUCAGCCUCCCAAAAUGCUAGGAUUACAGGCAUGAGCCACCACACCUGGCCCACAGCUCACUGUUGAUACUGGAACUAGAAAGAAAUUAUUUAGGCCGAUACUGAGGGUUCUUACCAAGUAGCUCCUAAAUCAUUUCUUUUCUAACAAAGAGCAGCCUGAAAAAUUGAGCUGCAGACAUAAAUAAGCAAGCUGGAAGCUUGCAUAGGUAAAUGCCAACAGCUGUGCCAAUAGGAAAAGGCUAACUGGGGGUGGGGCAUGUUCAACAUGGAGGCUCCAUUUUCCCUUUUCUUUGUCAACCAUGUGUACAGUAAAGAAACAGGCAACAUGGCUCCGGCCAGAUAGAGGACCAUCUGCAUAAUAAAAGAUUCGGGUGGGGUAGCCAGCUUCUUUGCGUGCUAUGUAAAUGGCACACCUGGUCCAUCCAAUCUCUCGGGCACUAUGUAACUCAGACACUGCCUCCACAAGCUUGUCUACAAAACCCUUUGCGUUUCACCAUGAGACCAAAAGUCCCACUCAGGAGCCCCUCUCUCUGUAAGAGAGAGAGGUAUUCCCUUUUCUCUUCCUUUUGCCUAUUAAACCAAUGCUCUUAAAUUAACUUCUUAUGUGUCUGCGUUCUUGAUUCCCUUGGCAUGAGACAAGAAACCUCUGAUAUUUAUCCCAGACGGCAACAGCGCUUCUCUGUGACUUCAAACUCCUGGGCUCAAAUGAUCCACCCGCCUCAGCCUCCUGAGUACCUAGGACUUCAUGCACCACCAUGCCCUGCUAAUUUUUAACC
RNAcentral lists this long non-coding RNA (1591 nucleotides) under Homo sapiens (human). RNAcentral describes it as "HSALNT0351316". Lineage: Eukaryota; Metazoa; Chordata; Mammalia; Primates; Hominidae. The record is from RNAcentral.